GAUGAACGCUAGCUACAGGCUUAACACAUGCAAGUCGAGGGGUAACGAGAGGAAAGCUUGCUUUCCUUGUCGACGACCGGCGCACGGGUGAGUAACGCGUAUCCAACCUGCCCCCAACUAGGGAAUAACCUUGCGAAAGUAAGACUAAUACCCUAUAAUUUCCUCAGAUGUCAUCUGACGAGGAAUAAAGAUUUAUCGGUUGUGGAUGGGGAGGCGUCUGAUUAGCUUGUUGGCGGGGUAACGGCCCACCAAGGCAACGAUCAGUAGGGGUGCUGAGAGGAAGGUCCCCCACAUUGGAACUGAGACACGGUCCAAACUCCUACGGGAGGCAGCAGUGAGGAAUAUUGGUCAAUGGGCGGAAGCCUGAACCAGCCAAGUAGCGUGCAGGAUGACGGCCCUGUGGGUUGUAAACUGCUUUUAUACAGGAAUAAAGUUAGCCACGUGUGGUUAUUUGUAGGUACUGUAUGAAUAAGGACCGGCUAAUUCCGUGCCAGCAGCCGCCGUAA
This 506-nucleotide ribosomal RNA is filed under the name uncultured bacterium. Its description in RNAcentral is "partial 16S ribosomal RNA". It matches the Rfam family "Bacterial small subunit ribosomal RNA", at positions 28 to 523 of the family's 1533-position model. The record is from RNAcentral.